This 497-nucleotide ribosomal RNA is filed under the name uncultured bacterium. Its description in RNAcentral is "partial 16S ribosomal RNA". It matches the Rfam family "Bacterial small subunit ribosomal RNA", at positions 28 to 507 of the family's 1533-position model. The record is from RNAcentral.
GAUGAACGCUGGCGGCGUGCCUAAUACAUGCAAGUCGAGCGAACAGACGAGGAGCUUGCUCCUCUGACGUUAGCGGCGGACGGGUGAGUAACACGCGGAUAACCUACCUAUAAGACUGGGAUAACUUCGGGAAACCGGAGCUAAUACCGGAUAAUAUAUUGAACCGCAUGGUUCAAUAGUGAAAGACGGUUUUGCUGUCACUUAUAGAUGGAUCCGCGCCGCAUUAGCUAGUUGGUAAGGUAACGGCUUACCAAGGCAACGAUGCGUAGCCGACCUGAGAGGGUGAUCGGCCACACUGGAACUGAGACACGGUCCAGACUCCUACGGGAGGCAGCAGUAGGGAAUCUUCCGCAAUGGGCGAAAGCCUGACGGAGCAACGCCGCGUGAGUGAUGAAGGUCUUCGGAUCGUAAAACUCUGUUAUUAGGGAAGAACAAAUGUGUAAGUAACUAUGCACGUCUUGACGGUACCUAAUCAGAAAGCCACGGCUAGCUACGUG